This 1554-nucleotide ribosomal RNA is filed under the name Escherichia coli. Its description in RNAcentral is "bacterial SSU rRNA". It matches the Rfam family "Bacterial small subunit ribosomal RNA". The record is from RNAcentral. Lineage: Bacteria; Pseudomonadati; Pseudomonadota; Gammaproteobacteria; Enterobacterales; Enterobacteriaceae.
AAAUUGAAGAGUUUGAUCAUGGCUCAGAUUGAACGCUGGCGGCAGGCCUAACACAUGCAAGUCGAACGGUAACAGGAAACAGCUUGCUGUUUCGCUGACGAGUGGCGGACGGGUGAGUAAUGUCUGGGAAACUGCCUGAUGGAGGGGGAUAACUACUGGAAACGGUAGCUAAUACCGCAUAACGUCGCAAGACCAAAGAGGGGGACCUUCGGGCCUCUUGCCAUCGGAUGUGCCCAGAUGGGAUUAGCUAGUAGGUGGGGUAAAGGCUCACCUAGGCGACGAUCCCUAGCUGGUCUGAGAGGAUGACCAGCCACACUGGAACUGAGACACGGUCCAGACUCCUACGGGAGGCAGCAGUGGGGAAUAUUGCACAAUGGGCGCAAGCCUGAUGCAGCCAUGCCGCGUGUAUGAAGAAGGCCUUCGGGUUGUAAAGUACUUUCAGCGGGGAGGAAGGGAGUAAAGUUAAUACCUUUGCUCAUUGACGUUACCCGCAGAAGAAGCACCGGCUAACUCCGUGCCAGCAGCCGCGGUAAUACGGAGGGUGCAAGCGUUAAUCGGAAUUACUGGGCGUAAAGCGCACGCAGGCGGUUUGUUAAGUCAGAUGUGAAAUCCCCGGGCUCAACCUGGGAACUGCAUCUGAUACUGGCAAGCUUGAGUCUCGUAGAGGGGGGUAGAAUUCCAGGUGUAGCGGUGAAAUGCGUAGAGAUCUGGAGGAAUACCGGUGGCGAAGGCGGCCCCCUGGACGAAGACUGACGCUCAGGUGCGAAAGCGUGGGGAGCAAACAGGAUUAGAUACCCUGGUAGUCCACGCCGUAAACGAUGUCGACUUGGAGGUUGUGCCCUUGAGGCGUGGCUUCCGGAGCUAACGCGUUAAGUCGACCGCCUGGGGAGUACGGCCGCAAGGUUAAAACUCAAAUGAAUUGACGGGGGCCCGCACAAGCGGUGGAGCAUGUGGUUUAAUUCGAUGCAACGCGAAGAACCUUACCUGGUCUUGACAUCCACGGAAGUUUUCAGAGAUGAGAAUGUGCCUUCGGGAACCGUGAGACAGGUGCUGCAUGGCUGUCGUCAGCUCGUGUUGUGAAAUGUUGGGUUAAGUCCCGCAACGAGCGCAACCCUUAUCCUUUGUUGCCAGCGGUCCGGCCGGGAACUCAAAGGAGACUGCCAGUGAUAAACUGGAGGAAGGUGGGGAUGACGUCAAGUCAUCAUGGCCCUUACGACCAGGGCUACACACGUGCUACAAUGGCGCAUACAAAGAGAAGCGAUCUCGCGAGAGCAAGCGGACCUCAUAAAGUGCGUCGUAGUCCGGAUUGGAGUCUGCAACUCGACUCCAUGAAGUCGGAAUCGCUAGUAAUCGUGGAUCAGAAUGCCACGGUGAAUACGUUCCCGGGCCUUGUACACACCGCCCGUCACACCAUGGGAGUGGGUUGCAAAAGAAGUAGGUAGCUUAACCUUCGGGAGGGCGCUUACCACUUUGUGAUUCAUGACUGGGGUGAAGUCGUAACAAGGUAACCGUAGGGGAACCUGCGGUUGGAUCACCUCCUUACCUUAAAGAAGC